GUAUUUCUACAUAGCUGCUUUGGCUGUGGGUCAGAGAGAGAGAAGGGAAAUGACUUUUUACGGGGGUGAAAUUUCUCCAGGCAGGAGUGGGACAUCAUCUUGCCCCUCCCCAGAGCCCUGCAGGCGCAUGGGAGUAGCUCAGUGCCGGCCCAGUUCUCUGAGAAAUAACAACGCUUGGGAGGUUCGAAUGUUGAUAACAACUCUCCUGUCUCCUGGUAGCAGUCCUAGGCAGAGGAGGGAAAAAUGGAACUUGUGUUAUUCAUGGAAAACUUUCUGCUGUUUCUUGUGCAGAGUUUUAGAUCUUUGUAUGAUUUGCUAUCUGGUGUCUGUAGGAAGAGAAUGACUUAUUUGAGGUAAAAAUUGAGAUAAUCAGUAAUGGACAGGUAGGGAAAACUUUUGAAGUAAACUCGAGGUGACCUGUAGUGGAGAGCAUGAAGAUUUUGAAGUAAACUAUAGCAAUCAGUUGUGCACAGAUAGGGAAACCUUUAGGGGUAAAAUACAAGGUCAUUUCUAGGUGAGGGAAUGAACACUUUUUGAGGUAAACUGAGUGAAUCAGUUGUGGAAGUAUUAGUAAAUUCUGGGGGUGAAACUUGAUGUAACCUCCAUGGUAGAAAAGAAAUCAAUCUUUUGAGGUAAAAAGGAAGUAAUCAGUGUUGGAGAGGCAGGGAGAUUUUGAGGGUAAACUUGAGUCUGUAGUGCAGAGAAUGAACAUACUGAAGUUAAAUGGAGGUAGUAACUUGCAGACAGGGAAAAAAUUUGGGGGUCAAGUCUGAGGUAAUCUCUAGGGGAGACAACACUUUUGAGGUAAACUGAGGCAAUCACUAGGUGACAGGUUGGAAAAGUUUUGGGGGGUAGAAAUUAAAAUGACCUGUUGGGCAGAGAAUGGACAUACUGAGGUGAAAAUCAGGUAAUAAGUAGUGGACAAGUAGCAAUAAUUUUGGAGGUGAAAUCUGGGGUGAAGUGUGGCAGGGAGAGCGUACAUCAUGAGGUAAAGUGAGACAGUACUGGAAAGAUAGUGAAAUAUUUCAGGGUAAAACUUGAUGAAAUCUCCAGGGUAGAAAGAGAAUGUUUAUAGGUCAAAAAGAGUAAAUAGUUAGUGGGCAGGUAGGGAAAAUACUGGGGGUAAAAUCUGAGGUUAUCUCUAGGGGGAGAGAAUGAACAUACUGAGGUAAAAAUCAGGCAAUGAAUAGUGAAUGUUAGGGAAAUUUUGGGGGGUAAAACUGGAGCUAGUCUCCAGAGUAGUGAAUGAAUACUUUCUUGUAAAAAAGAAGAAAUCAGAAGUGGACAAACAGGGACAGCUUGGAGGGAAAAUCUGAAGCAAUCCCCAGGGAAGAGAAUGAACAGCAUGAGGUAAACUGAGGUAGUCACUUGCACAGACACAGUGAAAAUUUUGGGGAUAGACACUGAGACAUUCUCGAGGAUAGAGAAAAUUACUUUUUGGGGUAAAAAUGGGAUGAUGGGUAGGGCAAAGCUUGUGGGAAAAACUUGAAAUAAUCUGUAGGAAAGAGCAUGAGCAUUUUGAUGGAAAAAUGAGAUAUUUAUUCUUUACUUCCCCUUGGGAUAACUUAAUCUGCACCUUUCCAUGAGCAAUUCCUUGGCUUCUCCUGGAGAAAACCCCACGGCAGAGGUAGUCUGCAAAGGAGCCAAAAUCAAGAGCAAAAGUUGGUUUGGGUUUGAGCACUUGAAAUAACUUUUGAAAGAGAAGCAAUAACCUUUUGCUGCUUCUUUCUUUCUUGCAGAUGCUGGGAUUGCCUCUGUGGACAUGUGCUGAGCUCUCCCUGCAGGGAACUGUCAGCCCUGAAUGUCUGUGCAAUAACUCAGAGCCUCAGCCAUGAAGGGCCAGGCUGUGUUUAAAACAGCCCAAGGUGCCAGAGAGCUGGAGUAAUUUCCUAGCAGGAGCACUCGUGAGAAGUUUCCCAUUUGGAGUUGGGCUCCAAAAGGAAGGAACUUGAAACCGCUUCUUCUGAUAAAUCCGUAAGUAUGGGAGGCCCUAUGAAGCCCACGGGUGUAAGCAGCCAAUAACUCCCACGAGUAUUUUAACUACUAAAAAUAGCAACUUUUAUUUCUUCUGCACACAAACGACUUGGCUGUCCUGUUCAGGGUUCACUGAGGCUGUGAAUUGCAAUCCAGGGCAUCUUCAGGCUCCUGGUGCUCGGGACUGUGGCGUUUGGUGUGCAGAAAACAUCCCAGGCUGUCCAGCUUGGGUGUGGAUGUGCAUUUCCACAGUUCCUCAGAGUGGGAAAAGGCCAAGAGGGUGAUGGGAAGGCCUUUCUUCUAGGCCUGGGCAUCCUCAAGACACCUCAAGGAUGUUUUUUAAAUGUUUGUUGUCUUUUGUUUCCCAGCCCAGGGCUGAGCUGGAGAACGGGUGGAGACAGUGGCAAGCGGGAGUCCCAUGUUUACAUCUGCCCUUGGAUUCCACUUUCUUCCAGUGGGUCUGUACUGCCCGAAGUACAAAGGAAGGAGGUGUUGGAGUACCUGUUUGUUCACCUGUUGAGCUUGGAAGAGAUGCUGAGUGUGAAAUUCCAGGGGUGCCGGCUCCUUGUGAGCUGUUGGUUGCUCAGGAGAUUGGGUCGGGGAAAGGGGGGGAGAGUCCGAGCACAGCACAGUGGUAGGAGCUGGGUUUGCAUCUCAAUCUAAGGCAUCUCAAAGCCUGAUAAGCUGGAAAGAAGACUUUGCUGUGUUAAUGCACAAUUACAUUUUUGUGCAAUUUUUUGAAAUUAGGGCUGAGAUCAAUCUGGGGAGGUUAUCUGGCCCAAUUCCCUGUGCCCUGCUUUGCCAUGAGGAAUGGAUGCCUGACCUCUUUGCAGAGAGCUGCUGCUGCUAAAGAUUUCUCAGUUUCUAUAGUGAAUUUAUCCCAGUACUUUGCUGCUAUAAAGAAGUCUCCUCUUGCUGCCAUUUCCCCUUAUUACAUUUAAGAUCAGCUCCAGCUGAGUUAGAAUUUAAUCCCAACCUUUUCCCCCUUUUUUUUUUCCCAAGAGGCCUCAGCUAUCUCGCUAUUUCUUUCCUCUCUCACCCUCCAGGUCCUGUUUUUCAGACCUCGUUCUUUCCUUAUAAAACCCUUGAUAACCCAUUCCCCACUUAAGGCUUUGUUGUAUCCUUGUUUUGCUACCUUCUGGGUGCUGUGGAUGAAGGUCUGGCUUUGAGGAGCACACCCUGCUCCCUUUGCUCAAGGGAUUGCAGUUAUUCCAAUCUUCUGCUGCUGAGGGCUUCCUUAGGCUCUUGCUGAAAUGAAAAAUAUCCAGGAAGCUUUUCCUUUUUUGAGAUUAGACUGGUUUCUGCAGGUCCUUGAGAUGUGACCAUGAUGGUUAAAAACCCGCAGUGCAAAUGAAGGUUUCUCCCGUCUUCCCCCCUGCCCCCUACCUGCUCCAUGCACAGUUCAUUACUUUGUAAUCACAACUACUAAGGAAACCUUUCUAAUCUUGUCAAUUGGCAAUGCAACUGCUUUUAAAUUCUGGUUUAAAAUAGGUUUUGAAGUCAGGCUCUGCCCUUGCUAUUGAUUUGAAUUCUUGACUGAGUAAAUUAUUGGUGCUUAACAA
Long non-coding RNA from Corvus hawaiiensis (hawaiian crow), 3536 nucleotides. RefSeq lists it as uncharacterized. The transcript is spliced from 3 exons. Lineage: Eukaryota; Metazoa; Chordata; Aves; Passeriformes; Corvidae. The record is from RefSeq and is a predicted model, not a curated record.